GCGCGAUUAGCUCAGGGGUAGAGCACCUGAUUCACACUCAGGGGGUCGCAGGUUCGAAACCUGCAUCGCGCACCA
Molecule: transfer RNA, 75 nt
Filed under: Verrucomicrobiales bacterium
Lineage: Bacteria; Pseudomonadati; Verrucomicrobiota; Verrucomicrobiia; Verrucomicrobiales
Also listed under: 2 other names
Description: tRNA-Val
Rfam family: tRNA
About the family: Transfer RNA (tRNA) molecules are approximately 80 nucleotides in length. Their secondary structure includes four short double-helical elements and three loops (D, anti-codon, and T loops).
Source: RNAcentral